UUUCCGUAGGUGAACCUGCGGAAGGAUCAUUCAUAAUAAGUGUUUUAUGGCACUUUUUUAAAUCCAUAUCCACCUUGUGUGCAAUGUCAGGGUUGAUUUUUCUCUCGAGAGGAUCAACCCCAAACAUUAACUAUAUCUCAACUCUUUGUCUGAAAAAUAUUAUGAAUAAAACAAUUCAAAAUACAACUUUCAACAACGGAUCUCUUGGCUCUC
This 213-nucleotide unclassified non-coding RNA is filed under the name plant metagenome. RNAcentral describes it as "partial contains small subunit ribosomal RNA, internal transcribed spacer 1, and 5.8S ribosomal RNA". The record is from RNAcentral.